This is a long non-coding RNA of Topomyia yanbarensis, 875 nucleotides long. RefSeq lists it as uncharacterized. The record is from RefSeq and is a predicted model, not a curated record. NCBI's taxonomy places the organism in Eukaryota, Metazoa, Arthropoda, Insecta, Diptera, Culicidae. The transcript has 3 exons.
CAUCCGGUGGACCUACGAGGUAUCAAACGGCCAUAUUUCCAUGUUAAACCACUGGAUCGUUCUAAGUUGACAAAGUGGAAGGAAAACCUCGAUUUUGAAAUCGAAAAUGUGGGAUAAGAAAGGUAUUCUUCUAUUGCUUGAACGAUUGGACGAACCAGAUAAUGUUCUACGAUCCAAGGUGCUGAAGAACAAUUCCCCAUCCGGACAAAUUUGAUGUGCACCUGUGUGGUCAGCAUUAGCAAAAACUCAGGACCACAACAAAGCCGGUGAGAUACUUGCAAAUCUGGUGGUUUGCUCCUGCUGAUACAAAUUGCCUGUGGGCGAAUAAAUUUGGAGCGCCGUCGUGACGACAAAUGCGUUCAGUUGUAUUCUUCAAGAUUAAAAUAUGUCAACCAGGCACAGGUGCUCGAGGAAGACACGUCGACCACGGAAGUUGCACUGCAGUUUAUGGUACAGGAUGGGUUAAAGCGAAUAAAAAGAGAAAACAAUCGCCACUCAAAGAAUCAUCAAAGGAAAUUGCGUCCAGUGCCACAGUUGGAACUAGUAGUACUGCUGCUAGUUAUAUAGUCGGAAGCUACAACUAUGCUAGCACAACUCCUACUAUUACGGAACUCUGGCAACCCAAUCCAGCCAGUAUCAAUACGAGGAGAGUUCGCCUACGGCUACAGCACCUGAAAUCAUCAAUAUUCCAAAGCUGGCUACAGAGAGUACAGUCAGUGGAGUCUGUAUGGAUGUUAUUAAGGUAGGCAGAAUCCGGCGUAGUCAGGUUCUAAUAAUUAUCUAAGACAAUCAUGUAUGUUCCUUUUUAUACUGUUUCUAUACAUACGACGAUAAAAUUUUUGAAAAGAGAACUAAAUGAUAAAAGUAAAACUUGC